Molecule: ribosomal RNA, 802 nt
Filed under: uncultured Bacillus sp.
Lineage: Bacteria; Bacillati; Bacillota; Bacilli; Caryophanales; Bacillaceae
Description: bacterial SSU rRNA
Rfam family: Bacterial small subunit ribosomal RNA
Source: RNAcentral
UGCAGUCGAGCGAAUGGAUUAAGAGCUUGCUCUUAUGAAGUUAGCGGCGGACGGGUGAGUAACACGUGGGUAACCUGCCCAUAAGACUGGGAUAACUCCGGGAAACCGGGGCUAAUACCGGAUAACAUUUUGAACCGCAUGGUUCGAAAUUGAAAGGCGGCUUCGGCUGUCACUUAUGGAUGGACCCGCGUCGCAUUAGCUAGUUGGUGAGGUAACGGCUCACCAAGGCAACGAUGCGUAGCCGACCUGAGAGGGUGAUCGGCCACACUGGGACUGAGACACGGCCCAGACUCCUACGGGAGGCAGCAGUAGGGAAUCUUCCGCAAUGGACGAAAGUCUGACGGAGCAACGCCGCGUGAGUGAUGAAGGCUUUCGGGUCGUAAAACUCUGUUGUUAGGGAAGAACAAGUGCUAGUUGAAUAAGCUGGCACCUUGACGGUACCUAACCAGAAAGCCACGGCUAACUACGUGCCAGCAGCCGCGGUAAUACGUAGGUGGCAAGCGUUAUCCGGAAUUAUUGGGCGUAAAGCGCGCGCAGGUGGUUUCUUAAGUCUGAUGUGAAAGCCCACGGCUCAACCGUGGAGGGUCAUUGGAAACUGGGAGACUUGAGUGCAGAAGAGGAAAGUGGAAUUCCAUGUGUAGCGGUGAAAUGCGUAGAGAUAUGGAGGAACACCAGUGGCGAAGGCGACUUUCUGGUCUGUAACUGACACUGAGGCGCGAAAGCGUGGGGGAGCAAACAGGAUUAGAUACCCUGGUAGUCCACGCCGUAAACGAUGAGUGCUAAGUGUUAGAGGGUUUCCGCC